AUGGACCUGGACGACUUCCAACUUGACCACGAGUUUCCAGACGACUACGGGCAAGAGGAAGAGGACGAGUGCGACAUCAAAGUGGAGCCUUUGUUCGAGGACGAGCUCGCCAACCAAGCCGCCGGUCCGAAGCCGAAGCGCAAGAGCAAGCACACGAAGGCAUACAUGGCGGCCGAGGACAAGCUUCUUUGUGAGUUUUGGCGAGACAUUGAACAAGACCCCAAGACGGGCGCCGAACAAAAGCAUUCAAAUUUUUGGAUUCGUGUCCACCGGGAGUUUCAUGAGUGCAAGAAGUUUCCACCUUACCAAAUUGUGAGCACGCGUGGGUGGGUGUCCAUUUCCAAGCGAUGGAGGGUGAUCCAACAAGAGUGCAACAAGUUUUGUGCCACUCUUGAGAGCGUCAAGGCCCGCCCCGUGAGCGGCAUCGGCAUGCAAGACAUGGUAUGCUAG
Molecule: ribosomal RNA, 450 nt
Filed under: Triticum aestivum (bread wheat)
Lineage: Eukaryota; Viridiplantae; Streptophyta; Magnoliopsida; Poales; Poaceae
Description: partial small subunit ribosomal RNA
Source: RNAcentral